RNAcentral lists this long non-coding RNA (4978 nucleotides) under Homo sapiens (human). Its description in RNAcentral is "HSALNT0028135". The record is from RNAcentral. Lineage: Eukaryota; Metazoa; Chordata; Mammalia; Primates; Hominidae.
CUGGGUUCCUACCCGCAGCAUACGCCCUGCCAGCUGCCCCCAAGCCAGCACCCGCUGACCACUCACCUCAGGCAAGCACCUAGGAAGACGAUGCAGAUUCAAGCUCCAGACCUUGAGCCAAGCGCUGGGGAGGGAAUGGGGGCAAAGAGAUGGUGGAAAACACUUUCCUGAACUUACUGAAUACCCUAUGUUAUGUGUGGGUUUUCUAAUUGUUCUUUGCUUAAUGAAAAACCCACGUUGGAAAUCAGAAAAAGGCAGUAAUCCUCACCGUAUCUUGUGGGCUUCAAAGAGGAGGUUUUCCCCUUAAAGGGAGUUUUGGUCCAGAGGAGAGGCUAACAGCAGGCAGGAAGGGCAGAGGAAAAGAUAAAGCCUAGGGUGGUCUUCCCCCUGAGGCCUGGAGCCCACCAAGCUCCAACAGUUUCAUUUGGCUUCUGGGAAGCAAAGUACAGAUGCAUGUGUCUGCAGAGCACUGUUCUGAGCCAUUUGUCCCUAAUUCCAUGGUUCUUUGGUUCCUCCAAUCUUGUCUCCUCUCCUGUGGAAGAGGAUCCAAAGCAUUGGUCCACACUGCUAUUUACAAGUGGCUGAAGAAGGCGGAACAUGUGAGCAGUCGGGAAGGCACACACAGUGGGAGCCAGUAAGGGCCCCUGUGCAUCUGCAGGAGCUGAGGACAGAAGGGGUGGGCCUCCACGGUGGGCAUGUAGGAGUGGGCACAGAGAAGGGCCACAGAUCUGAGACAGAGACAGACAGGACUUCUUACCCUGCUGAGCCCUGCAGGGAGCCACUUCGUCUUUCAGCCCUGAUUUUGUCAUCUGUAAGGAAAUUUCCUCUCUCCCAGGGUAAUCAUGUGAAGCCAAUGAAAUAAUAAAAAGGACCACAUCGGAUGACCCCUGAGGCAGGUCUGCUCCCCAAAAGUUUACUCUUGAAUGUUGACCAAGGUUGAGCUAGGCAAAGUGGUAAAUUCACACACACGGUAUGUAGCCCCUUCCCCAACCCCAGUCUCCAUUACCGGGGGCAUGCUGUGAACUAACUGCCUCCUUUUCCCCACACACCCACUUCCUGCCCAGUCUUUAUGCCUCCCGAUAUGACAUCCCGUUCCCUCUUAAUUAACUGUGCCUAUAGAGAAACAUCUAGAUAAACCAUGCAUUUAAUCUGUGAGGGGUCAAUCAUUUAAUCAUCGUUGACAAUAAUGCUCACUCCUCUGUGGUUUCAGAGGACUCCUGGAGUGGAUGGAGACACAUGCCACUAAUGUGGGAUGCAUUUCAGUCUGUCUUCCAGGCCUCGUUUGGAGGUCUCCCUCUCUUACCCACCUAUCACACAUCCAUGUCUUCCCUUCCCUCCCCAGAGCCAAACCUGUCCCCGACUUUUUAUUCUCACUAAAGUUCAAAUGACAGAAAUCAGCUAGAUUAGUACUUGCCUUAGUCCUGAAGGAAAGGGAAGUGCUCAUUAGCUUCUUAAAUUGGAACAGGUCUGCAGGUGAAAAUGAAGAUGUGCUCAUCUCUGGCAGGAAGGUUGGGAGUGAGGGGUAUAGUCAUAAUGAGCAGCGUUUAUUUGGUGUGUGCCUCUCACUUGCCACUUUCUACCCAGCUGCCUGAAUAUCACUCCAGUUAGUCUGAGCACAUGAAACACCUGCAACUCCCCAGACCCACCAUGCUUUUUCUUGACUCUCUGAAUGCACAGCAGUGCCUCCUCAGCUAAGAACACAGUUCCCCAUCACCAAGCUUUGCUUUGCCCAACAGACCCCUUCUCCCUUAGGAUGAGAUUCAGUGGAUAAUCACAUCAUAAUCACGACCCUCUGGGAAGCCGCCUCUCUCAUCCUGGGUUGUGUGUUGUGUGUUUCCUUUCCACACUCCCUCAGCAGCCUUUGCCUCCCACUUUCAUAGAAUCUACCAUAUGGGAUUUUAACUGUUUGUCUUCCACUAGACAAUAAGCUCCUUGAAGACUGAAUUUCCAGGAACUUCUGUUGGAUCUGCAUGUUUGUGAAGUGAAUUACUGAAGGCUGCCCAGUUUCAUCUGAUCCUAGUCAAAACCUAAAUCCCUUAUUUCUACGCUACCUUUUGCCAGCACCUGAAAAUGAUGCCAGGUUUCUGGAAUCCACGGCAGCAAUGGGUGAUAAGUCUCCAGCAUCUGGGUGACAGCAGACUGACUCUGCUCUCAAGUCUCAUUAAUCCACAUUGUAAGUCACACUAUGUCCCUUUGGCUCCAUUUUCUUACCUGUAAAAUGGGGAUUUUGAACUUACUAAUAUGCCAGACACAAAGCUAAAGAAAGGAGCUGAAGAGACAGGAUAAAAAAGACGAAUAAUAGGUUCCUCCCUGUAAGAGCUCACAAUUCAGUGGGCUGACAUCAUCGGCCUUAUCCACCAGAUAGAGUGUUAGAAUAACAGGAUAGCAGGAUAGAGAGUUGAGAGAUAAAAGCACCAUAUAAUGUGACAGGAACUGCCACUUGUCACUCAAUUUCCAUUCUGCCCUGCUAUCUUAGUAACAGAACUCCUGUUUUUAUGGGGCAGACAUGUCCCCAACUAAACACAUUAUAUUUCCCAGCCUCUCUUGCAACUAGUGUAGAGAAACCAACUUUUAGAACCAGAUGUAAGCCUAUACAUUCUCUUAUGUUUCCAGGGAGUCUUUUUAAAAAGGGGAGCCAUGCCCUUUUCCCUUUUGUCUUCCAACCUCCUCCCUAGAAUGUGGAUGAGGUGACUGGAGUUCUUGCAGCCAUUUGGGGCCAUGAGAACAAUGGGUACACCUUAGGGAUGGCAAAGAGUGAGCUAAUUGGAAUAUGGGGCCCUCACCUCUUUGCAGGGCUAUUUUAUCCAUGUUGUAUACUGCAAAUCACUGUACUUCUCUCACCUGAGAAACAAACAGCUAACUUGUGUAUAGAUGUGUGUGUAUGUGUGUAUUAAUGCAACUGAUUCCACUCUCAACUGAUGAACGAAAAUAUUUAAUAUUAAUAAGUAUUACACAUAAUCCCUACUUUAUUUAGCUCCUAAAGAUCUCAUGAGAUUUAUUUUAAAACUAACAUGCUUCAAGAAUUUUUUUAACUUCUGGAAUAUCAAGUGAUAUGGUGGUGCUGAGCAAUGCAGGUAUUUUCACAACUAUCUUUAGGAGAUUCAAAUCAAUGCUUGGGCUCAGGUCACUUUAUGACUGAGAAGUCUGGAAAAUUGUAUUUUCUUUUGAAGUAGCAGGUGAACUUGUAGGACAAUAAAUCAGCUAGACAUGACUUGAGCCCUCAUGUACCCUCAUUCACAAGCAUAUGCACACGCUUACCUGCAUGGAUGGACAUGUACUUUCAGGAAGCCACACUAUGCAUCACACGCAUGCAUAGCCACACACAGGUACACUUUCACAUCCAUACUCAAUAGCAGGCUCCAGUGGAUUUCCUGCAAUUUUGAAGGCCCUGGAUUUUCCCUUCACCAGAACACUACGUUAUUAUGAGUUAUUAUUUUCAAGGACUUGGUUAUACAAGGCUGGAAGUGGUGUGAUGAGUCAUAAAGAGCAAGAGCAAGAAAGCUUAGUAGUCAGUCCUUGAUGGUGAAGGUGGAUUCAUGGAAAAGCAGAGAAAGGCAGAUUCCCUACUACACAUAAGUUCCAGGGUCAGAAGGAGAAUCCUGAUGAGCCAGGGGCAGUCUGAACAUCCAGAGGCCUCACCUUCAUGGAGGAUACUGCAUGAGAGUGUGAGUUAAGCUCCUCCCUGAGCUCCUGUCCUCCCCGCUCCAGGCCUGCUCCUCUAGACAAGCAAUUUUCAAUUGAUUCGAUCACUGCUUGUAUAUUUUGCUAUCUCUUUGAGCUCAGCCUCUAGCUCUGAUCCCAGUCCUUUGAGAACCUCCUCAGUGCUGUACACUAUGCUCAGGAUUUAAGAAAACACAAAGAUGAAGAAGACACAGUCUCUGCUCUCAAGAAGUGACAUUCUAUCAAAUAAUUGAGAAAUAAAUAUUGAUAGCCAACUCCAUAAAAAUAGAUAGAUAAUUACAGGAGUUGAUACAAAUCGUAGAACCUUGGCAAAUUCUCAGUUGUCUCAUCUGCAACUGAAGAAUAAUAACUUCUGCCAUCAGCAACUUGUGAGCUUAGAGAAACUACCCUCAUAAAUUAUUUAGGGAUUCCCUCUGCUACUCAACAAACCUUUUACUCAACUCUAGUUUAUUCAACAUUUCCCAGAAAACCCCAUCCAAGUCUUCCCCACUCUAAACCCUGGAAAUCUUCAUACCAAUUCAAUCCCCAGGUCUCAUUCACAGCAGAGAAUUUGUCUACCUACUUACUAAGAAAAAAGGCCAGAAGCAGUGGCUCACGCCUGUAAUCCCAGCACUUUGGGAGGCUGAGGUGGGCAGAUCAUGAGGUCAGGAGUUUGAGACCAGCCUGGCCAAUAUGGUGAAACCCUAUCUCUACUAAAACUACAAAAAUUAGCCAGGCAUGGUGGCACAUGCCUGUAGUCCCAGCUACUCGGGAGGCUGAGGCAGAAGAAUCACUUGAACCCAGGAGGCAGAGGUUGCAGUGAGCCAAGAUAACACCACUGCACUCCAGCCUGGGUGACAGAGAGGGACUCGAUCUCAAAAAAAAAAAAAAAAAAAAAGAAAGAAAGAAAGAAAGAAAAUAGAGGCCACAGGAGUUAUGGCCGCUCAGUUUCCAUCUUGUCUAUCUUGAAGUCUCCCUUUAUCUCCUGCCUUGAAGAAAGAUGCUUAUAUCCAAGUACUUUGGAGAGUCAAAACAAUAAUGACCAAGAAAUCCAAGACCAUAAAAAAAUAGAGUUUUAGGCCGGGCGCGGUGGCUCACGCCUGUAAUCCCAGCACUUUGGGAGGCUGAGGCAGGCGGAUCACGAGGUCAGGAGAUCGAGAUCAUCCUGGCUAACACGGUGAAACCCCGUCUCUGCUAAAAAUACAAAAAAUUAACCGGGCUUGGUGGCCGGCGCCUGUAGUCCCAGCUACUCCAGAGGCUGAGGCAGGAGAAUGGCGUGAACCCGGGAGGCAGAGCUUGCAGUGAGCCGAGAUCGCGC